AGUUUGCCCAGAUCUCCUUCUAGAGCCUUCCAAGAAAGUCUAUACAGUGGAUCCAGGCUGGCAGCAGCCAGCAGACUACUCCACAGCAUGGCAGGGACAGAAGGGGAUACUUCAGGUCCCCAUCAUGUCAGCCUUUGUGAGAUGCUCAUCUUCCCUGCAACAUACCUCUAAUGAUGCUGUCACUUGGAAAGCUACCUGCUCCUGAUUCUAUGCUGACAUCGAUCUUCUACACCCAGUAAGUGUGAAAUAUGAACCCAGUAAGAUCAGGAUCUAGAGGAAGACCAGAUGGUCAAGAGUCCUUCGAUCGG
Molossus molossus (Pallas's mastiff bat) is the source of this 308-nucleotide long non-coding RNA. RefSeq lists it as uncharacterized. Lineage: Eukaryota; Metazoa; Chordata; Mammalia; Chiroptera; Molossidae. The record is from RefSeq and is a predicted model, not a curated record. The transcript has 3 exons.